This 32-nucleotide non-coding RNA is filed under the name Leuconostoc kimchii IMSNU 11154. Lineage: Bacteria; Bacillati; Bacillota; Bacilli; Lactobacillales; Lactobacillaceae. The record is from RNAcentral.
CUCUGUUACAGAAGUAUCAGGGCGCUAAGGAG